Molecule: ribosomal RNA, 576 nt
Filed under: Triticum aestivum (bread wheat)
Lineage: Eukaryota; Viridiplantae; Streptophyta; Magnoliopsida; Poales; Poaceae
Description: partial small subunit ribosomal RNA
Source: RNAcentral
AUGCAGCCGCCAUCGCAGUACCACCAGUCCUCCUACUACGCCGUGCUCGGCGUCCACCCAGGCGCGUCCGCCGCCGAGAUACGCGCCGCGUACCACCGCCUCGCCAUGAGGUGGCACCCGGAUAAGAUUGCCAAUGGCCGUGUGGAUCCGGCGAUCGCGGAGGAAGCCAAGGGAAGGUUCCAGAAGAUACACGAGGCAUACCAGGUGUUGUCGGAUCAGAAGCGGAGGGAGCUCUAUGACGCCGGGAUGUACGACCCCCUCGACGACGACCAAGAAGAGGUCGAGGGCUUCCAUGAUUUCCUUCAGGAGAUGCUCUCGCUCAUGGCCACCGUUGGUAGAGAGGAGCCCGUGUAUUCCCUGGGCGAACUCCAAUCCAUGCUUGACGGGAUGAUGCAGGAUUUCAGCUCCCCCCAACCGCCACCACCAAGCAGCUUCUUCAGCAGCACCAGUUCGUCGACGCGGUUCAGCGCACCCAGCGGCGGAGCGCAGCAGCAGCGUCGACCCCCCUCCCGCGUACGGCCUCAGGGGUUCGGCAGCUCGGCAUGCUUCAGCCAAACGGCUUUCUCCGGCUGCUAA